RNAcentral lists this non-coding RNA (68 nucleotides) under Elusimicrobiota bacterium. RNAcentral's name for it is "Elusimicrobia bacterium Fluoride sequence". It matches the Rfam family "Fluoride riboswitch aptamer (crcB RNA motif)". Lineage: Bacteria; Pseudomonadati; Elusimicrobiota. The record is from RNAcentral.
UCGAAAAAAGGCGAUGGAGUUCGCCUAAACCGCCCCGGAAGCCCGGGGAUGAUGACUCCUGCCGACGC